This 370-nucleotide unclassified non-coding RNA is filed under the name soil metagenome. Its description in RNAcentral is "partial contains 5.8S ribosomal RNA, internal transcribed spacer 2, and large subunit ribosomal RNA". The stretch from base 1 to 120 matches the Rfam family "5.8S ribosomal RNA", at positions 35 to 154 of the family's 154-position model. The record is from RNAcentral.
GAUGAAGAACGUAGCGAAAUGCGAUAAGUAAUGUGAAUUGCAGAAUUCAGUGAAUCAUCGAAUCUUUGAACGCACAUUGCGCCCCCUGGAAUUCCGGGGGGCAUGCCUGUUCGAGCGUCUCAGGGACGAACCCUCGCGCGGGUGUACGCGCGGUCGUGGCUGCGGUGGCGUGCCCGAGGCGGCGGCCACCGCGCUGGAAUCCAUGGGCGGACGCCUGCCGCGUGGCCGAGCGUGAUAUGACGCAUUGGCGCUCGCACGCGGCGAGGCUGCCAGCCCUGGCCCGUCUGUCGGGCGGGGGAGAGCAAGACACGUGAACUCCUCGAAUCAGGUAGGGAUACCCGCUGAACUUAAGCAUAUCAAAAGCGGAGGA